UACGUAGGGGGCAAGCGUUGUCCGGAAUCAUUGGGCGUAAAGCGCGUGUAGGCGGUUCAGUAAGUCUGCUGUGAAAGUCCAGGGCCCAACCCUGGGAUGCCGGUGGAUACUGCUGGACUAGAGUGCGGAAGAGGCGAGUGGAAUUCCCGGUGUAGCGGUGAAAUGCGCAGAUAUCGGGAGGAACACCAAUUGCGAAGGCAGCUCGCUGGGACGUUACUGGCGCUGAGACGCGAAAGCGUGGGGAGCAAACAGG
Molecule: ribosomal RNA, 253 nt
Filed under: uncultured bacterium
Lineage: Bacteria
Description: partial 16S ribosomal RNA
Rfam family: Bacterial small subunit ribosomal RNA
Source: RNAcentral